Molecule: transfer RNA, 72 nt
Filed under: Glyptostrobus pensilis
Lineage: Eukaryota; Viridiplantae; Streptophyta; Pinopsida; Cupressales; Cupressaceae
Also listed under: 2 other names
Description: tRNA-Thr
Source: RNAcentral
CCCCAUUAGAUUAUUCAUAUCUACGAAUACAUGGUAAGGCGUAAGUCAUCGGUUCAAGCCCGAUAAAGGGCU